AUUUAAAUAGUUUAAUUAAAAAUAUUGAUUUGUGGAGUCAGUGAUGUAAAUUUUUACUUUAGAUA
RNAcentral lists this transfer RNA (65 nucleotides) under Aleochara sp. 2 EF-2015. RNAcentral's name for it is "tRNA-His". Lineage: Eukaryota; Metazoa; Arthropoda; Insecta; Coleoptera; Staphylinidae. The record is from RNAcentral.